GUUUGAUCCUGGCUCAGGAUGAACGCUGGCGGCGUGCCUAAUACAUGCAAGUCGUACGAACAGCGGAAAGUGCUUGCACUUUCCAAGUAAGUGGCGAACGGGUGAGUAACACGUGAAUAACCUACCUCAAAGUCUGGGAUAACCAUUGGAAACAGUGACUAAUACCGGAUAAAACCCAAGUGCACAUGCACUAAGGUUAAAAGCUGCGUUUGCAGCGCUUUAAGAUGGAUUCGCGGUGCAUUAGUUAGUUGGUGAGGUAAAGGCUCACCAAGACGAUGAUGCAUAGCCGAGUUGAGAGACUGACCGGCCACAUUGGGACUGAGACACGGCCCAAACUCCUACGGGAGGCUGCAGUAGGGAAUCUUCCACAAUGGGCGCAAGCCUGAUGGAGCAACGCCGCGUGUGUGAUGAAGGCUUUCGGGUCGUAAAGCACUGUUGUAUGGGAAGAACGGGUUUAAGAGGAAAUGCU
RNAcentral lists this ribosomal RNA (469 nucleotides) under Fructobacillus fructosus. Its description in RNAcentral is "bacterial SSU rRNA". It matches the Rfam family "Bacterial small subunit ribosomal RNA", at positions 11 to 470 of the family's 1533-position model. Lineage: Bacteria; Bacillati; Bacillota; Bacilli; Lactobacillales; Lactobacillaceae. The record is from RNAcentral.